UACGGAGGGUGCAAGCGUUAAUCGGAAUUACUGGGCGUAAAGCGCACGUAGGUGGUUCGUUAAGCUAGCUGUGAAAUCCCCGGGCUCAACCUGGGAAUUGCGGUUAGAACUGGCGAGCUAGAGUAGGGUAGAGGGGUGUGGAAUUCCAGGUGUAGCGGUGAAAUGCGUAGAUAUCUGGAGGAACAUCAGUGGCGAAGGCGACACCCUGGACUCAUACUGACACUGAGGUGCGAAAGCGUGGGGAGCAAACAGG
This 253-nucleotide ribosomal RNA is filed under the name uncultured bacterium. RNAcentral's name for it is "partial 16S ribosomal RNA". It matches the Rfam family "Bacterial small subunit ribosomal RNA", at positions 524 to 776 of the family's 1533-position model. The record is from RNAcentral.